GACGAACGCUGGCGGCGUGCUUAACACAUGCAAGUGGAGCGACGAACCGGGGCUUGCCCCGGGGCAGAGCCGCGAACGGGUGAGUAACACGUGGGUAACCCACCCGAUGAUUGGGACAACCCGGGGAAACUCGGGCUAAUACCAAAUGUGCUCGUAGACCAUGAGGUCCAUGAGUAAAGAUAGCUUCGGCCUUCGCAUCGGGACGGGCCCGCGGCCCAUUAGCUUGUUGGUGAGGUAACGGCNCACCAAGGCUGCGAUGGGUAGGCUGGUCUGAGAGGACGAUCAGCCACACUGGGACUGAGACACGGCCCAGACUCCUACGGGAGGCAGCAGUGGGGAAUCUUGCGCAAUGCGCGAAAGCGUGACGCAGCAACGCCACGUGG
Molecule: ribosomal RNA, 383 nt
Filed under: uncultured bacterium
Lineage: Bacteria
Description: bacterial SSU rRNA
Rfam family: Bacterial small subunit ribosomal RNA
Source: RNAcentral